GCAUUAAUGGGGUAGUGGUAACCUGGGUCGUUGCCAUUAUUUGGGAGUUCGACCCGCCGGGGGUUCGAUUCCCCCUUAAUGCA
Non-coding RNA from Termitomyces sp. Mn162, 83 nucleotides. Lineage: Eukaryota; Fungi; Basidiomycota; Agaricomycetes; Agaricales; Lyophyllaceae. The record is from the annotation of a GenBank genome assembly.